RNAcentral lists this long non-coding RNA (10792 nucleotides) under Manihot esculenta (cassava). Its description in RNAcentral is "long non-coding RNA (MESC_LNC011263)". Lineage: Eukaryota; Viridiplantae; Streptophyta; Magnoliopsida; Malpighiales; Euphorbiaceae. The record is from RNAcentral.
CUAAUGGCAUAUUAAGGAACCCUUUUAAUGCUUCUUUUUGUUUCUGAACAUCAGGUUUAGAUGCUUGGUUUGACAUGGAGGUUUCGCUGCUCAUAGUUCUAGUCCUGCUUGCAAGUUCUGUCAAGAGACCUUUAGAUGUUGCAUGCACAUCUUGGGAAGAUUUUACAGGCUCUGAGGGAGGAUCCUGCCAUGCAAACAAAACAGAUACUGAAACUUUAAAAUAUCAGUUUUAGCUGACAAAGGCAAAACAUCUGUGUAGUUUUCUAUUUGAGUAGUACUGUAGAAGGCGGAGGAAUCAGCGUCUUCUUUAUGAUUCGAUUUUAAACCGAAUCGAUCAACUGCUUCACCCUAAAAAUAAUUACCUUUGGAAGAAUCUUUGUCUCAACAGUCACUGAAGGAGGAGGUGAUGACUUGAUGACUUCCUUAUCGCUGGUGGGAGUAGCAGUAGCUUGAAUGCCUUCUUUGGUCUGGUUCAGUGGUUUAGUGUCUACUUUUGCUUUAGUAUCAACUACUUUUUCAGAUGAAGGAACCUGGCUUGUUGGUGGUGCAGCCACUGGCUCAGAUGGUUUAGUUUCAUCCUUAGCCUCUUGCUUUUUAGGUUCAGGCUUUGAGUAAUGCUUGACACUACGAACAAGAAUCUCAACUUCAAGUAUAAGGGUGUCGCCCACAAGAUAACCUUCAGCAGAAUUUUUUAUUUUGCUAAGAGGAAUAAAAGAUGUGAAACCCCAAUCUUUCUCAAUUGCUUUGAAUACAUGUUGUGUAUCUGCAAAACAUGAGAGGAAAAGACAAUGUUAUGGGCAUUCUCUGCACAAUCUAAAAAUUUUAAUUUUUAGACUAAAUUGAGAUUAAAUUGACACUUUUAGGUUAAUUUGAAUAAAAAAUGUAAAAUGGGCUGAAUUAAACACACUCAAUAAAUAUAGGGGUGGAAUUGAAAAUUUAAUCUUUUUUAUUUGGACAAGGAUAUGUACAUAUGCUAAAUGAGAGUACCUUUUCUAACAGUUAGACUCUUAUUGAUUUGAUUAAUAACUGCAAAGCUAAAUUUUGCAUCUCUGCUCCAUUCUUGCGGCAAACUUGUUGAGUCGGCGACUGCCAAGUAUAUUGACAAAUAAUCCACUUUAUUUCCUUUGGGAAAAACAAGCAAACACCUGCCGUAAAGUAAAAAGAGAAAAUAAUAUUUAUUCUGUGUAAUAUAAAAAAAAUUGUUAGUUAAAUUUUAUGAAGGAAUUUAUUAAUUAGGUUUAUUAUUUUUGAAAAGUAUAAAAUUUUAAAAAAUUUAAUAAUUAAUUUCUUUUUUAGUUUUAGAAAAAUUUACUAUAUAUAAUUAUUGGGUUAACUAAAUAAUCUAACAGUUUUGUAAAAAUAUUUACCCAUUAAUCUUUUUAUAUUACAAAUAUUUUAAAUUUUUUAUAACACUUAAUAAUUAAAUUUAAUGAAUAAACUAAUUAAUAGUUUCUACCUUCCAUAAUUUUUUUUAAAUUUACUUUCAAAUUGAUUAAGAAAAAUAACUUUUUUAUUAAUUUUUAAUUAUCACACUUAAAAAUAUUAAAUUUUAUUAUAUAUUAAAAAAUAUUUUAAUAAUCAAUGGGAAAUUAUUUUUGAAAUAAAAUAAAAUAAAAUUAUAAUAAUUAAUUAAUUUAUUAAUUAUGUAUAAAAAAAGUAAAUAAUAAUUUUGGACAACAAAACAAAAGAUGAACAAAAAUAAUAGGACGAAGAGAGUAAAUUUAAAAAAAAAUUUACAAUUUUUAAUAUAUUUUUUUAAAAUUAAAAAAUUAAUUAAUAAAUAUUUUCAUAUUAAAAAUAUUACUUUUAACCAUUAAAUAUAUCAAAAUUUACACGAGAUUUUUUAAAAAUUAUAUUAAUUAUUUAUCUUUCAAUGAAUUUAUUAGUAAAUUUUUUAAAAUAUUAAAAAUAUUUUUUAAAAUUAUAAAAAUUAAUUAAUCAAUUUUCCAUUUUAACCUCAAUUGCAUCAGAAAGAUAAAAAUAAAUAAAUAAAUAAUAAUUUGAGGAGAAGAGAUGAAGGAUACCAUUGACAACCGCCAGCAUAGAAAACCUCAGAAUAAAGUUCUUUUGGAGUCAAUGUGGAGAAAUUGUUAAUUCUCCAUGUGAAUUUAAAUGGAGUUGCAUCCCCCAUGUUAAUUGCUCUAAUUCCUGCAAAAUUAAAAAAAAAUAUUUUUAUUAUUUAAAAUAAAAAAAAUCAAUUCUUUUUAAUUUAAAAAAAAUUCAUUUUAAAAAAUUAAAAUCUUAUAUAAUUUUAUAAAAAUUAAUCUAAAUUAUUUUUCAUAAAAUGAAUGGGAUAAAGUUAAUUGUUUUAAUAAUAAUAAUAAAUUAAUGCAUAUAAUUUUAAAUAGUUAUAAUUAUGAAAUAUUUUAUUUCUCCAAUCGAAUCGGUAUAUCAAUAUCAAUUCGAUUCGAGAUUUCAUCCAAACUACAAUUUAACUCUCGUAGAAGUGUCAGGCCUAAAAUCUAUCAAAAUCUACUAAGCAAGCUAGCCUAUUAGCGUGCAAUCCGGUCUACAAUCGAGUAGAUCGGAUUGAUGGGCUCGAACUCAUCAAAGAGACCUAGCUAUACUAUGACCCUAUCAGCAUGAGUGCUGAAAGAGAAUUAAAUAGUUGUCUGAUAAUGAUGAGAAAGCAGUUACGUCUGGACGUAUGACUCUACAUAAUAACGACAAAUAGCAUUGUAGUAAAGUAACGGUUAUGCGUCACUAGAUAACAAAAUAAAAAUGAAAAAUAAAAAAUGUAAACCAUUCAUAUUAAACUCACUCACACAGAAAAAAAUUCUACCUUCAAAUCAUCAGAUAAUAUAAAAUUUUCUUACUCAUCAGAUAAUAUAAAAUUUUCUUACUGACUUUCGCAUAUAAAAGUAUUAUAUACAACUUUAAUGUAUGAAAUAGAUAGAUUUUAACCAUCCAUUAUAAUAAAAUACACACAAAAAUCACUAUAAUUAAUGAAUUUAAUAAAAUUAUUACACAUAUAAUAAUAAUAAUAAUUUUGAAAUAUCUCCUUUCAUAGGCUAUAAAUAGCAAAUAAUGAAAUAGUUUAUAGAGAAAUUUAAGAGAAUCAAACAAAGAAAAACAUAAAUACCUUGAAGGAUUGGGUGAGAGUGUUAGAAAAAGGCAAGUUCUUGAAAAUCACAUACUGCAAUUAUAUAUAAUAAAGAUAAGCCUCAAUUACUUGUAAAUUUAUCUUUCCAUAUUCUGACCAAUCUCUUACUUUUCAAUUUCCAUGAUUCUUUCCUUUUGAUAUCAAGGAAUUACUUCCACACUGUGUGUGCUUUAUUCCCUUCCUUUCUUUCCUUAAUUAUCCUAUUAACUUUUUAUAAUUUAUAAUGUGGUUUUUCAAAUUUAUUAAAAUUCAAAAUUUGUACCCGUUUGUUUCUAAAAAAUAAUAAUUUAUAUUUAAAAAUAUUUUUUUAGAAAAUUUUUUCAACAAAAUAAUUUAUUUUAUAUUUUUUAAUUUUAAUUUAAAAAAUAAAAUAUAUUAAUCAUUUAUAUAUAUAAUUGUUAAUAAAUUUUUAAAAUAUAGAAAAUGACUUAAUUUUUUUAAUUAAAAAAAUAUUUUUUAUUAACUAAUAUUUUUAAGUGUUUUAAAUAUUAAAACAUAUAAAAAAUUAUUUAUGUGAAAAGUAUUUUCUACAAAAUAAAUGGAGCUUUAGUUAUUAUUAUUUUAAUGAAAAAUAAUUUAAUAUUUAAGAUACUAUUUUGUUAAAAUAGUCGCUCUGUUGAAUCUCGUUAUUAAAUUAUAUCAAUUUAAUUAUUUAAAAGUAGGUUAAUCUUUUUAAUUUUAAUAAUUUAUAUAAUUUAAUUUUUAUAAUUUUAAUAUUAAUAAUAAUUUAUUCUCUUUAAUUUAUUUUAAUUUUUUAAUUAACAGUUGGCUAAUGAUAAAUUUAAUAAAAAAAUUAUUUUAUUAAUAAAAUAAAUAUUUAAAGUUUAAAUUAUCUACUACUAAAAAAAUAUAAAUUAAAUUAUAGAUUUUGUUAAAUUUAAGAAAUUAUACUAUAAAUUACACCACGUUUUCCUCUCUUUUUUUUUUUUCUUUUGGUGCAUUUUCCCAAUAUUAAAUUGAAUAAUGGAAUUGCCAUAAAAUAAAAUUAUAUUUUAAUAUAAAAAUUAAAUUAUUACAAUAUGCCAUGUGCGUUUGAGUCCCUGAUCUUUAAUAUAUUAUUAUAAAAUCUCUCAUCUUUACAAUUAUUGCAUAAAAAUCUCUAUCUUUAAAAAUAAUAUUUAAAAAUCCCUGAUCUUUAUGAAGGUUUCAUAAAAAUCCUUCAGAUCAUUUUUAAUUUAUUUGUCCAAGAAAAUUGAUAUGUAAAAAUAUCACUGUAUAAAAAAUAAAAAAUAAAAAAUAAAUAUAUGCAAAAGGAGAAAUAUUGUUAAUAUUUUAAGUGGUUUGAAUAUUUUUUAAUUUUUAUAAUGUAAAACUGCUAUGUAUAAGUUCUGGAAAAUAUAUGAGUACAAAAUAGUUUAAGGGAUUUUUAUAUAAUAUAUUUAAAAAUGGAGAGGUUUUGUGAUAAUAAAUUAAAAAUGUGGAACUCAAAUGCAAUAAUCUAUCAAAUUGAGGAUGAUAGCAAAGCCACCCACUUUUUACUGGAACUCGGUUAAAGUGUGCAUGCUUAUAUAUAAUAAGAUUUUGGCUAAAAAAAAAAAUUUCGGCUUAAAAAAAUUAUAACUUUGUGGUUUUGUUGUAUAUUUUGUUUUCAGAAAAGAUCAGCAAUAUGGUAAGUAAACCGAGAAUAGAAGUUUCUUUAAUAUAUUUAAAGCAUCUUAUUUUUCUAUAAAGAAUUAUUUUAAAAAAAAUAGAGAAAUGAAAGUGCAGUAAAUUGAAAAUUUAAAAGAGCGGUUUAAAUAAAAGUUAGAGCAAAAACAAAGAUUCAUUGAGUUAAAAAUUAAAAGGGUGGCUCAAGAAUGAGUUAAGGUCUAAAGAGUGCAGAAAAGAUAAAGUAUAGGCCGAAAACCAUUAUACUAUCAUAGUCUAUUAUUUGAGGUCUCUCCCACAGCUUAUCUUAGAAUUUGGAUGAACAUCUUCAAGAAGAAAGAUCCCCAGUGAAUAAGUGUAAUACCCGGCUAGACCCCGGUAUCGGAAUUCCUACGUUCCGGCGGAUUUUCCGUUGGAAUCCGGGAUUCGAGGAUGUCGGAGCUUGCCCUAAGGGUAUUAGAGAGGUUUUUAAAAUGGUUUUAUCAAGUUUGCAUGAUUUUGAGUUAAGAAAAUUGNNNNNNNNNNNNNNNNNNNNNNNNNNNNNNNNNNNNNNNNNNNNNNNNNNNNNGUUUGCAUUUUAUUUUUAAAAACGGUUUUCUUGCAUUAAAGUUUAAAAAAAAAAAAAGAAAAAUAGAAUUCUUCAGCGGAGGACAUCAUAAAAAUCAAUAAUUUAGAAAAGAGAAAAUCAAAGAGAAAAAAAGAGAGAAGAAAAAUCAUAAGAGACAAAAUUAGAGGAAACAAGAAAAGAGAAAAGUAGAAAGAAUCAAAGCAGAUAAAUUAGAAAGAAAAAUCCAAAAAAUAGAAGACUGAGGUUUUCUAAAUAAGUCAUAAUUUUUUUAAAAAAUAGAAUUAAAUUUUAUGAUAAGACUAUCAGGCACACAUGGAGCAUACAAUAUGUUUUGUAAAAUAUCACAUACAUGCAUCAACAUAUCAUCUAUAAAUGUCUAAAGAGUAGCAUGCAUACAUCACUAAAAAACUUUAGUUAUACCUAUAAGGCAUAGAUAAUAUGCGUGGAAAGUAUCUUGAUUCAAGAUACGUAAUCUAGUUUAUUGUCGAUUAUGUGAGGAUUUAAUUCUCCUUCACAGGAGACACAUAGGAAACUUAGGAUAACUUAGGAGAACCUACAUGUGAAUCCUCAAAAUCACACGGUCAUAAUCAUAUUGCAUCUUCUCAAGAGUUUUAAGGUACAAAGCAUGCCUUAAAGCUUCUACAAUAGACUCAGGAUAUGGAGUCUAGGUUUUUUCAAACUACGUGAAAGUUUGAUUCUUUUAAAAUAGAAGAUACAUAGAAAGUCUAUAAAAAUCUAGGUGCAAACCUCAAAAAUACAAUCACAGUCACAGUUGAGUCAGUUGCAUAAGUCCUAAUUGAAAUAGUUAUAGAAGAUGGCGAGCUAAAACCUUAUGCUGUAUUAAGACUCUUUAAUGAACCUCGAACACUAUCCAACCUUUGUUAAAGUGGAGGACAAACAGUAGAUCUAUAUUUUUGUUAGUAAUAUGCCCUACAGCCAAUCUGUUGAUUGUAGUUAAAUAUUAUUGUUAAUAUAUUUUAAGGCAGUUAUUAAUCUUUAGUGUUAAUUUAAUUGAACCUCAAGUAAAGAUAAAGUUCAUGAGACUAUAUUACUAUGCAAAGAAAAUUAUAAUGUAGUUAUAAUUAAGAGAUUCCAAUUACAUUUAACUAAUGUCUCUAAAGAAGUCCUUUCCCUGGUACAGACUUUAGGCAUCUCAAGAUGCAAAGUACAACCUACAUAUAAGUCUCGCGAGGGUCAUGUAUGAAUUGGCUGACUAAGCUAACAGCAUAGGCUAUGUCCGGUCGAGUGUAUGAGAGAUAAAUCAACCUUCCUACCAUUCUCUAGCAUCUUCCAAUAUUCACGGAAUCACCAGUUCUUGCUUCCAGCUUGUGAUUACUUUCAAUAGGAGAUUAUGUUGGUUCACACCCCAUCAUACUAGUUUCUUUUUAAAGAUCUAGAAUACUUUCUUUGGGAGAUGAAAAUUCCUUUUUCUGAUUUGGCCACCUCGAUACCUAGGAAAUAUUAUAGUUUUUUUAGGUCUUUGAUUUCAAAUUCCUGAGCCAACAACCACUUUAGUUGAGCCAUUUCCUCUUUAUCAUCACCCGUCACCACUAGAUCAACAACAUACAUAAUAAGAAGGGUGAUCUUACCCUUGUGAUAUUUGAUAAAAAGUGUAUGAUCAAUAUUGCUUUGUUGAUAAUCAAAGGAUAUCAUGACUCUGCUAAACCUAUCAAACCAAACUUUGGGAGAUUGUUUUAGCUCAUACAAAGCCUUUUUUUAACCUGCAUACCUUUUCUUGCGUCUUCUCAUCAGCGAACCCAGGAGGAAUUUCCAUGAACACUCCUUCCUCUAAAUCUCCAUGGAAGAAAGCAUUCUUCACAUCAAACUGUUGUAAGUCCCAGUCCAAGUUGGCUGCGCAAGAUAACAGAACUCUGAUUGAGUUUAUUUUUGCAAUUAGGGAAAAUGUCUCUUAGUAAUCCACUCUAUAAAUUUGGGUGAAUCCUUUGGCAACUAAUCUGGCCUUAAACCGUUUAAUUGUACCAUCAGCUUUGUGUUUCACUGUGAACAUCCAAUUACAAUCAAUGAGUUUCUUUCCAGAUGGGAGAGUGACAAGCUCCUAGGUCUCAUUUUUAGCCAAUGCUUUCUUCUCUUCAAUUAUUGCUUCUUUCCAUUUAGGAUCUGCAAGAGUUUUCUUCCAAUCCUGUGAAAUAGACACAAAGAAAAUAGACAAGGCAAAGGCUCUAUAGGAAGGAGACAAGGAUUCAUAAGAAACAAAGUUAGAAAUAGGGUGUUUAGUACACGAUCUGACCCCUUUUCUUUGUACAAUAGGUUUAUCUAAGUCAUUCGAGCAUUCAAGAGUUGUGGGUAACUCACUACAAGAAGAUUCUUGAUUGGGUAACUCACCAGAAGAAGAUUCUUGACUCUGAGUAGAUUGCAUAAUGGCUUCUUCUACCUUGUCUCUCCUCGAAUACCUUCUCAAAUCUAACUUGUCCAAACGACCAAUUCUCUCUCCCUGAUUGGACAUCUCCCCCUGUCUACUAGAACUCAAACUCUCUAGUUGAACCAUAUCAUCCAGAAUCACAGAAUUCAAGAUCACCUCUUCUUGCUCAUUAUUCUCCCCUUGAAGAGGUGAGUGGGAGGUACUAAAGUAGGGUUCAGUUUCUCGAAAGGUAACAUCCAUACUGACUAAGUAUUUCUUAGAGGGAGGGUAAUAACACUUUUAUCCCUUCUGUGUCGGAGAAUACCCAACAAAAACACAUUUAAGGGUCUUGGGAUCUAAUUUCCAUAUCGUCCUAGUAUGGACAAAGUAAACACACCCAAAUACUUUUGAUGGAAUAACGUAUGAUUUCUUCCCUUGUAGAACCGCCAAAGGACUCAAAAUCAAGGGCCUUGAGAGGCAUUCUAUUAAUAAGAUAAGCAAAUACAAGGAUUGCAUCUCCAUAAUAUGCUUUGGAUAGAUUCGUGGUGAAUAUAAGAGAUCAAACUACUUCCAAUAUAUAUAUGCCUAUUCUUUCCCUCAGCAAUGCCAUUUUGAGCACUAGUAUAAGGACAACUAGUCUGGUGUACUAUCUCAUUACUCUCAGCAAUAUUUUGGGUGGAACAACGUAUGAAUUUUUCCCUUGUAGAACCGCCAAAGGACUCAAAAUCAAGGGUCUUAAGAGGCAUUCUAUUAAUAAGAUAAGCAGAUACAAGGAUUGCAUCUCCCCAAUAUGCUUUGUGUAGAUUCAUGGUGAACAUAAGAGAUCAAGCUACUUCUGAUAUAUGCCUAUUCUUUCUCUCAGCAAUGCCAUUUUGAGCACUAUUAUAAGGACAACUAGUAUGGUGUACUAUCUCAUUACUCUCCAAAUAAGCAGAAAAGCUACUAUCCAUGUAUUCUCUUCCAUUAUCAGUUCUCAAAAUUUUCACCUUAGUAUCAAAUUGAGUACAAACUAUCUUAUGAAAGGAUUGAAAACAAGAAAAGGCAUCACUUUUAGCUUUAAUUAAAUAGACCCAAGUUAUUCGAGUGCAACAAUCAAUAAAGGUGACAAACCAUCUAUUACCAGAUAAGGAGACAGUUUGAGUAGGCCCUCAAACAUCAAAAUGAAUAGUCGCAAAAGGAAUUUGACUUUUAUUAUAACUCAAAGGAUAGGAUGUUCUAAUGUGUUUAGCAUACUCACAAGCAUCACAAAAUAGAGAACCAAAUUGAAUUCUAGCAAACAAAUUAGGAUAAAGGUUUUCUAAGGUAAAAAAUGAUGUAUGCCCUAAUCGUCUGUGCUACUGUAUUAUUUCCUGAUUGACAUCCUUAUUUUCUCUAAAACAGGCUUGAGAUAUCAAAGAACUUGGAUCACCCUCCAACAUAUAUAAGCUAUCAUGCAGCCCACCAUUGCCAGUCCUCUUCCCUGUGCGAAGGUCCUAAAUAACACAAUGAUCAGGAAAGAAUUCAAUUUUACAGUUAAGGGCAUUGGUGAUAGCACUGACAGAUAAAAAUUUGACAGGAAAGUGGGAAACAUGAAGAACAAAUGAUAAUUUAAUGUUGGAUGUGCAAAUAACAGAACCUGUUCCGGAUAUGGGAGUAAAAGAGCCAUCAGCAAUUCUGACACUAUCUUUGGUUAGAGAAGAACAAUAAUUGAGAAAGUCUUUAGAAGAGCCUAUCAUGUAUCUAUUCGCACAAGAAUCGAUAAUCCAUGGAACAUUAUUAAGAGAGGAAGCAUUACCUGACUUUACAAAGUUAGAUGUGGCACCAGAGGAUGAGUAAUUAAAGUUAGGAAUCGAGACCCUUUUACCUUCUGCCAGGGUAAAGAUUUAUGAACCGUGAAAGAAUAGGAGGUAUCUAAGGUAGUGCACACAAGAGAGCCCAAUCAAUUCACCAAAAGACCAGGUAGCAGCACGGAAAGGCCAAAAAGAUGGUCGGAAUCAUCACCGGAGUGAUCAACGCGGUGAAACAACGUUAGGCAAUGGAUCACGUGCCGAAAAGCGAUGGGUCAUGCACCGGAAAGAGGAGCCGCGUGAGCCUCACGUGUAGACUUUUUCGGCGUCAGAGCUGGGUGAUUGGCCGGCGACAGUCUGACGAUUCUCCUGGUGGCGGUGAGAGGAGAAAAGGCUCCUAGAUGGGUUAGUACUAACAAAGGUAGAUCUAGGGUUUUGAAAUCCUACAGAGGAAAAAUUGAAUUUGAAUCCUAAAAUUCAGAAAAAAAACUCUGAUACCAUGUAGAAUUUUGGAAAAAUUUAUAGUAUUCUUAUAUUUCACUCUUAAUCUUUAUAAUUGGUCUACAUGACUAUUUAUACAGAAAAAAUUAUAUUUAAAUAUGAAGCAAAUAAUAAAAUAAUAAUUAUGUAGAUGAUUAAGAAUUCAAAUCAAAUCAAAUCAUAUCUCUAGAAUCAAUUAGGAUCAGCAAAUAAAACAACAUGAAUUUAAUUGGAAUAACAUCACUCAUGUAAGUUGCCUUGAAUCCUGGACAAUAAAAUUGAUAAAAGAUAAUUGUAAAAUCACCCUACCAAAAGUCAUAUAUAUANNNNNNNNNNNNNNNNNNNNNNNNNNNNNNNNNNNUAUAUAUAUAUGUUUGUGUAUAUUGGCUUCAAGGUGGAACAAAAGGGUCCUAUCUCAAGAUUUAAUAUAAGGCAGGUAUUUUUAUUCUUUCUUGAUAUUGUUUUAUCCCUAAAUAAUCUACAUUGAUCAAAAUAAAGAGGUUUAGAUGCUUGGUUUGACAUGGAGGUUUCGCUGCUCAUAGUCCUAGUCCUGCUUGCAAGUUCUGUCAAGAGACCUUUAGAUGUUGCAUGCACAUCUUGGGAAGAUUUUACAGGCUCAGAGGGAGGAUCCUGCCAUGCAAACAAAACAGAUACUGAAACUUUAAAAUAUCAGAUUUAGGUGACAAAGGCAAAACAUCUGUGUAGUUUUCUAUUGAGUAGUACUGUAGAAGGCGGAGGAAUCAGUCUCUUCUGCCUGAUUCGAUUUUAAAUCGAACCGAUCACCUGCUAAUCUUAAAAAUGGUUACCUUUGGAAGAAUCUUUGUCUCAACAGUCACUGAAGGAAGAGGUGAUGAUUUGAUGACUUCCUUAUCGCUGGUGGGAGUAGCAGCAGCUUGAAUGCCUUCUUUGGUCUGGUUCAGUGGUUUAGU